GGGGUAUAGCUCAGUUGGGAGAGCACUGCCUUGCACCAGGGGUCAAGAGUUCGAAUCUCUUUAUCUCCA
Molecule: transfer RNA, 69 nt
Filed under: Clostridium butyricum
Lineage: Bacteria; Bacillati; Bacillota; Clostridia; Eubacteriales; Clostridiaceae
Description: tRNA-OTHER
Rfam family: tRNA
About the family: Transfer RNA (tRNA) molecules are approximately 80 nucleotides in length. Their secondary structure includes four short double-helical elements and three loops (D, anti-codon, and T loops).
Source: RNAcentral